UACGUAGGGUGCAAGCGUUAAUCGGAAUUACUGGGCGUAAAGCGUGCGCAGGCGGUUAUAUAAGUCAGAUGUGAAAUCCCCGGGCUCAACCUGGGAGUGGCAUUUGAGACUGUAUGGCUAGAGUGUGUCAGAGGGGGGUAGAAUUCCACGUGUGGCAGUGAAAUGCGUAGAUAUGUGGAGGAAUACCGAUGGCGAAGGCAGCCCCCUGGGUCGAUACUGACGCUCAUGCACGAAAGCGUGGGGAGCAAACAGG
This 253-nucleotide ribosomal RNA is filed under the name uncultured bacterium. RNAcentral's name for it is "partial 16S ribosomal RNA". It matches the Rfam family "Bacterial small subunit ribosomal RNA", at positions 524 to 776 of the family's 1533-position model. The record is from RNAcentral.